AGAGUUUGAUCAUGGCUCAGAUUGAACGCUGGCGGUAUGCUUAACACAUGCAAGUCGAACGGUAACAGGACUAGCUUGCUAGUCGCUGACGAGUGGCGGACGGGUGAGUAACGCGUAGGGAUCUACCUAGCAAUGGGGGAUAGCCCGGUGAAAACCGGAUUAAUACCGCAUACGUCCUAUGGGAGAAAGGGUGCCUCUUCUUGAAAGCACUCGUUGUUAGAUGAACCUGCGUCGGAUUAGCUAGUUGGUGGGGUAAUGGCUCACCAAGGCGACGAUCCGUAGCUGGUCUGAGAGGAUGACCAGCCACACUGGGACUGAGACACGGCCCAGACUCCUACGGGAGGCAGCAGUGGGGAAUAUUGCGCAAUGGGCGAAAGCCUGACGCAGCAAUACCGCGUGUGUGAAGAAGGCCUGAGGGUUGUAAAGCACUUUCAGUAGGGAGGAAAGGAUGUACGUUAAUA
Molecule: ribosomal RNA, 461 nt
Filed under: uncultured bacterium
Lineage: Bacteria
Description: bacterial SSU rRNA
Rfam family: Bacterial small subunit ribosomal RNA
Source: RNAcentral